GACGAACGCUGGCGGCGUGCCUAAUACAUGCCAGUAGAACGCUGAAGCUUGGUGCUUGCACCGAGCGGAUGAGUUGCGAACGGGUGAGUAACGCGUAGGUAACCUGCCUGGUAGCGGGGGAUAACUAUUGGAAACGAUAGCUAAUACCGCAUAAGAGUAGAUGUUGCAUGACAUUUGCUUAAAAGGUGCAAUUGCAUCACUACCAGAUGGACCUGCGUUGUAUUAGCUAGUUGGUGAGGUAACGGCUCACCAAGGCAACGAUACAUAGCCGACCUGAGAGGGUGAUCGGCCACACUGGGACUGAGACACGGCCCAGACUCCUACGUGAGGCAGCAGUAGGGAAUCUUCGGCAAUGGACGGAAGUCUGACCGAGCAACGCCGCGUGAGUGAAGAAGGUUUUCGGAUCGUAAAGCUCUGUUGUAAGAGAAGAACGAGUGUGAGAGUGGAAAGUUCACACUGUGACGGUAUCUUACCAGAAAGGGACGGCUAACUACGUG
RNAcentral lists this ribosomal RNA (497 nucleotides) under uncultured bacterium. Its description in RNAcentral is "partial 16S ribosomal RNA". It matches the Rfam family "Bacterial small subunit ribosomal RNA", at positions 28 to 507 of the family's 1533-position model. The record is from RNAcentral.